GACGAACGCUGGCGGCGUGCCUAAUACAUGCAAGUAGAACGCUGAAGGAGGAGCUUGCUUCUCUGGAUGAGUUGCGAACGGGUGAGUAACGCGUAGGUAACCUGCCUGGUAGCGGGGGAUAACUAUUGGAAACGAUAGCUAAUACCGCAUAAGAGUAGAUGUUGCAUGACAUUUGCUUAAAAGGUGCAAUUGCAUCACUACCAGAUGGACCUGCGUUGUAUUAGCUAGUUGGUGGGGUAACGGCUCACCAAGGCGACGAUACAUAGCCGACCUGAGAGGGUGAUCGGCCACACUGGGACUGAGACACGGCCCAGACUCCUACGGGAGGCAGCAGUAGGGAAUCUUCGGCAAUGGACGGAAGUCUGACCGAGCAACGCCGCGUGAGUGAAGAAGGUUUUCGGAUCGUAAAGCUCUGUUGUAAGGGAAGAACGAGUGUGAGAGUGGAAAGUUCACACUGGGACGGUAUCUUACCAGAAAGGGACGGCUACUACGUG
RNAcentral lists this ribosomal RNA (494 nucleotides) under uncultured bacterium. Its description in RNAcentral is "partial 16S ribosomal RNA". It matches the Rfam family "Bacterial small subunit ribosomal RNA", at positions 28 to 507 of the family's 1533-position model. The record is from RNAcentral.